Molecule: microRNA precursor, 73 nt
Filed under: Myotis lucifugus (little brown bat)
Lineage: Eukaryota; Metazoa; Chordata; Mammalia; Chiroptera; Vespertilionidae
Description: mir-9193 microRNA precursor family
Rfam family: mir-9193 microRNA precursor family
Source: Rfam by way of RNAcentral
GGUGGUGGGGGGAAGUCCCUCAGCCCAGAUUGUGAGAGGGCACAGGCCAGGCCGAGGGACUCACUGGUGCAUG